RNAcentral lists this unclassified non-coding RNA (215 nucleotides) under Hevea brasiliensis (rubber tree). Lineage: Eukaryota; Viridiplantae; Streptophyta; Magnoliopsida; Malpighiales; Euphorbiaceae. The record is from RNAcentral.
GAACUCUCCACACCCAAUAGCUGGAGUGGAGGAAUUUUCUCUGCCAGGUUUGACAUAGAAUGAUUCACCUGGAUGCUGGAUACAGAAGGCCUCCAAUCUGCCAAAAAGGCCUCAUGAACAUAAGCUUCCUCAUUUCUGUCUGUACAAUUAUCUGCACCACAAUUUCCUUCGAUGGCGCUGUCAGCAACAUCAUCCUUCUUUCUGGAAGAAAUAUG